Molecule: ribosomal RNA, 500 nt
Filed under: uncultured bacterium
Lineage: Bacteria
Description: bacterial SSU rRNA
Rfam family: Bacterial small subunit ribosomal RNA
Source: RNAcentral
CUAGGAUGAACGCUAGCUACAGGCUUAACACAUGCAAGUCGAGGGGCAGCAUGGCUUAGCUGCUAAGACUGAUGGCGACCGGCGCACGGGUGAGUAACGCGUAUCCAACCUUCCCCUUAGGUAGAGGAUAGCCCGGCGAAAGUCGGAUUAAUACUCUAUGUUGAUUUUGAGGACAUCUGAGGAAUACCAAAGACUUGUCGCUAAGGGAUGGGGAUGCGUCUGAUUAGGUUGUUGGCGGGUAGCGGCCACCAAGCCGACGAUCAGUAGGGUUCUGAGAGGAAGGUCCCCCACAUUGGUACUGAGACACGGACCAAACUCCUACGAGAGGCAGCAGUGAGGAAUAUUGGUCAAUGGGCGCGAGCCUGAACCAGCCAAGUAGCGUGCAGGACGACUGCCCUAUGGGUUGUAAACUGCUUUUACAGGGGAAUAAAGUGCGGGACGCGUCCCGUUUUGUAUGUACCCUGCGAAUAAGGACCGGCUAAUUCCGUGCCAGCAGCUGC